Molecule: long non-coding RNA, 188 nt
Organism: Rosa chinensis
Lineage: Eukaryota; Viridiplantae; Streptophyta; Magnoliopsida; Rosales; Rosaceae
Exons: 3
Source: RefSeq, a predicted model, not a curated record
GCCAUCUAUGGUGUUGGCCGCUUAAUGCUUCCGUUCCCUUCACCUAAACGCAUGUGGCUUGGGUUUCUAUUGAUCUUGAGUGCAUCACACAUCAUAUUCAGUCUCUUAAGCAAUCAAAUGAAGCACUAUGUCAUGCUAAAUAAAGUUUAGGGUCAACCACUGAUUUAAUCAUAUGGUAUAUCACUCCU